GGGGGCGUCCCGGUUUCGACGGGGCAUCCGGCGAUCGAGGAGCACGCCGAGCAGGCCGUUUGACUCGUAAAAACGACGGCGAAACAAAGCUGCCAACGACAGCGAACUCGCUCUCGCGGCCUAAUUAACCGCGGGCGGGGCACGGGGAGCCAGCCUGGAGCGCUCCGCCGCCCUGUUGAGAGAACCAGGCUGGGGCCAAAGCCCGCCACCUGAAGGCGAGGCCCGAGACGUUCCAGGUUGGUCGCAGCGCCUGGUGGUCCCGACCCGGAAGCGCGGCGACGAGAAAAGAAGUCGGGACUGAGCGUGGAGAACCUCGACGUACGGUCGCUUCGGACGGGGGUUCGACUCCCCCCGCCUCCACCA
This 363-nucleotide transfer-messenger RNA is filed under the name Anaerolineae bacterium. RNAcentral describes it as "transfer-messenger RNA, SsrA". It matches the Rfam family "transfer-messenger RNA". From Rfam's summary of the family: Bacterial tmRNA, also known as 10Sa RNA or SsrA, is named for its dual tRNA and mRNA-like properties. Its role is to liberate the mRNA from a stalled ribosome. Lineage: Bacteria; Bacillati; Chloroflexota; Anaerolineae. The record is from RNAcentral.